This 429-nucleotide ribosomal RNA is filed under the name uncultured bacterium. Its description in RNAcentral is "bacterial SSU rRNA". It matches the Rfam family "Bacterial small subunit ribosomal RNA", at positions 355 to 776 of the family's 1533-position model. The record is from RNAcentral.
UCGAGAAUAAUACGCAAUGGGCGAAAGCCUGACGAUGCGACGCCGCGUGAACGAUGAAGGCCUUCGGGUUGUAACGUUCUGUUGUCCUGGAACGAGAGUGGUUGACGAAUAGUUGAUCAUGAUGAGGGUACAGGAAGAGGAAGCACCGGCUAAUUCCGUGCCAGCAGCUGCGGUAAUACGGAAGGUGCAAGCGUUAGUCGGAAUUACUGGGCGUAAAGGGUGCGUAGGCGGAGAUGUAAGUCGGAUGUGAAAUCCCGGGGCUCAACCUCGGAACUGCAUACGAAACUACAUCCCUUGGGGAAUGGCGGAGAAAAUGGAAUUCCAUAUGUAGCGGUGAAAUGCGUAGAUAUAUGGAAGAACACCUGUGGCGAAAGCGGUUUUCUAGCCUUCUCCCGACGCUGAGGCACGAAAGCAAGGGGAGCAAACAGG